UGCUUGACUAAUAGCAUUUCUUUCCAUUCUUUGGUUCUCUAUGUCCAUUUUUCUUUCUGGGUUGUCUUCAUUUUCCCUCAUGGAUAUCAAAGUUUUCGAGAUUUUUGAGAUUUCCUCCAUAUGCAUGUACAGGCAAAGAAUACAAUGGGGGGUUGCUCAAAGUAAUCUAAUUUAAAGAGGGGGAGUAGAAUUAGAGGUUGAGAAUCUCUGCACGAAGACAUGAACAGCUUUCCAACAAAGAUAUCUACUGUUCAGUUGAACAUUAUCCUGAAAAAAUCUACUACAAAGAUGGUGAUGUAUCAGAGAAUUCCGUAAAGCAAACAAGUCAAAAACUAGCUGCUACUUUUGUUUUUUUCUACUCCAGAACUUGAGACGUCUCCUCUCUCUCAAGGGCAAGCUUGCUUCAACUGAGUAAAGGAAGAAAGAAGAACCAUUAUCAGCAAUGGCAUUAUAAUGAUCAUUUUACUACCUCAUCUAAUUAAUUUUCUAUUCACAGUUGAUCGACACAAAAAUCUGUACGUCGUGGCAAAACAAAAAGAAAGAAUUGGAAGGGUAAAUGGAGGCUUGAUCAUCGUGAAACCAGGCAAUUGUGAUCAUGACAAUCACCUUCCAUUUCACAUGCCAACCAUAUUCACUUGAAGAUGGUGGGCCUCUGCUUUGCCCAUGAUUUCUACUGCUCAUCAUGGUUGGAAGAUUUAACUAUUUUCUUGCUAAACAUAAGUGAUGAUCAGGUCAGUUCAAAAUCUUUUUCUUGUUUUCCAAAAUUAUAAAAUAAAUUAGCUGUGUUUUCAAUCAUUUCAGCUUACGUAUGUGAUGUUAUAGCAUUCAUUUUAUAUCCACUCGUGCAAGAUAUCGGUUCUGGGGUUUUAGUGCUCUUAUUAUUAGUAAGAUCAAAAUAACAACUGAUGUCUAGUGAGGUAUGAAUUCAAAGAAUUUUAUCCACAGCCAAUGAAUUCCUCUCUCUUAAUUAAAAAUACAAAAAU
Hevea brasiliensis (rubber tree) is the source of this 983-nucleotide long non-coding RNA. RefSeq lists it as uncharacterized. The transcript has 4 exons. The record is from RefSeq and is a predicted model, not a curated record. NCBI's taxonomy places the organism in Eukaryota, Viridiplantae, Streptophyta, Magnoliopsida, Malpighiales, Euphorbiaceae.